UGUUACUCGGUUCUCUCCCAUCACCCACACUUCAGGUAAUGCCUACAAGUGAUACAACAUCCAAGAGUACAAAUGGGACUUCUCCAUAUGAUGUCCACGUGGUUGUAACCCUGCAAGGCCUGUGCUCCAGUCCCCAACUAACAAGGGUGACACUUGGAUUACAGUGGAAAAACCCUGUCUUCUACCUAUGACAGUGAUGGCGA
Molecule: long non-coding RNA, 203 nt
Organism: Myotis lucifugus (little brown bat)
Lineage: Eukaryota; Metazoa; Chordata; Mammalia; Chiroptera; Vespertilionidae
Exons: 3
Source: RefSeq, a predicted model, not a curated record